Non-coding RNA from Arachis ipaensis, 821 nucleotides. The record is from RefSeq and is a predicted model, not a curated record. Lineage: Eukaryota; Viridiplantae; Streptophyta; Magnoliopsida; Fabales; Fabaceae.
AGCUCUACCUUCUCCUCCCUCACCGUGUCUCUCUCUCUCUCUCUCUCUCUGAAGCUCGAGUUUUCUCAUCUCUCACUGUGGCUUAUUGGUCAUUGCUCUCGCACCCAAGCUCUCUCCCUCUCUCGGCUCCAGUCUCUCUCACUGUCUGGUGUCGCACUCAACUCGUCAUCGCUCUCUCGGCUCCGGUCUCUAUCACGGUCUCUGGUCUCGCACUCAGUCGCGCUCGCGCGCCUUCCCUGCCCUCGUCGUCGCCGGAGGCAGAAGCAGCAGGUCCUGGGACUGGUCGUCUUCGUCGUACCCUGUCUCGUCACCGUCUCGCAGUCAGUCUCGCACCUUCGUUGUGCUCGUCGUUGCCGGAGGCAGAAGCAACAGGUCCCGGGGAUUCCUCCUCGCCGCCAGCUUCCUUCGCACAACCAGAAGCUGGUCCCAAUUUGGCGCUUCAAUUGAACUUUUGGUUGGUGGAGUUAACUCAGAUUUGAUAAUAUGAUAUGUUAUGGCACUGCAAUGCAAGGCUUCUGGGAAGGAUUACCAAUCAUGCUGUACUUUUAGCCGUUCUGAUUUUAUUAGUUCCACACCCUGCUCCCUUCUUUGAUCACUUUGUGUCCUUUUUUCUUUGUGUAGCAUUUUGAUUUGGCAGUGUUAUUACUUACUAGGUUGAACAAUUGAUUGGACAAUUAGUGUGAUCAAGGGAAUGGGAAGGAAGGAAGAAAGAAACAAACAAAACAAACAUUUCUUUCCCAUUGCUUGCCUUGUGACAAUGUAAAUUUGAUUUUGUUGUUAUGGAUUUAAGUUUGUCUAAAUAGAAAAAGGUUUUUCUUUUU